CUUCUUCAUGAGUUAACUCAUGAGGUUGUUGGGAGUAUUAAGAAGAAGUACUUCUAAUUCCUGAAGACCUCCACUACCUUUGGUCCUUUGGUCCUUUGUUCCUUGGUGGAAGAAGUUCAAGGAGUACAAGUGUGCACCAGGAAUAAAGGAUAUCAGCUAGAAGUUAUUAACCAUGCCAUCUGAGAUUCCUGCUUAAACGGAAGGAAGAUGGAAAAGACAGUGCCUGGAGAAUAAAGACUGCAGAUCAGUGAUAGAAUCUUUGGUUUAAGGAGAAGACAAGACCUGGAACAAUGGAGUCAAGUUAAUGGGAGGAAAGAGGUGUUCCAAGACUUGGGGUGAUAAAUGAAGACUGUUGCUGGUUUAACAUGCAAGUUACAUGCCUUGUGAAUAACUGAAGAUGGUAUGUCAUACCCUAAAGUGAUUCACUAGAAAAAGGAACAGAUUGAAAUUCAUUAUGUACCAAGUUUCAGUGAUAUGGCAAAAGGCAUUCAAAAAUCUCUUCUCUCAUGUCAUGAGAUAUAGCCAUACCUCCUUUCUCUAACCAGUUGUCCACAAAUGACAUUGAGAAACUCAGAAUAUGCUAAUGUGGUCUCGUAGGGAAACCACAGAUGGAGAUGGAAGUGGUAAAGAGAUGUGAAUCAUUUAUUGAAAGAAGAAGCUCAGCUCACAGCGAAAAAAAAAUGUGACAAUGAAUAUAUGUAUGUUCAUGUAUAAUUGAAAAAUUGUGCUCUACGCUGGAA
Molecule: long non-coding RNA, 740 nt
Organism: Camelus dromedarius (Arabian camel)
Lineage: Eukaryota; Metazoa; Chordata; Mammalia; Artiodactyla; Camelidae
Exons: 4
Source: RefSeq, a predicted model, not a curated record